ACGAUGAUGCCCAGCUUGCUGGGCGGAUUAGUGGCGAACGGGUGAGUAAUACGUGAGUAACCUGCCCUUGACUCUGGGAUAAGCCUGGGAAACUGGGUCUAAUACUGGAUACUACCUCUUACCGCAUGGUGGGUGGUGGAAAGGGUUUUACUGGUUUUGGAUGGGCUCACGGCCUAUCAGCUUGUUGGUGGGGUAAUGGCUCACCAAGGCGACGACGGGUAGCCGGCCUGAGAGGGUGACCGGCCACACUGGGACUGAGACACGGCCCAGACUCCUACGGGAGGCAGCAGUGGGGAAUAUUGCACAAUGGGCGGAAGCCUGAUGCAGCGACGCCGCGUGAGGGAUGACGGCCUUCGGGUUGUAAACCUCUUUCAGUAGGGAAGAAGCGAGAGUGACGGUACCUGCAGAAGAAGCGCCGGCUAACUACGUGCCAGCAGCCGCGGUAAUACGUAGGGCGCAAGCGUUGUCCGGAAUUAUUGGGCGUAAAGAGCUCGUAGGCGGUUUGUCGCGUCUGCUGUGAAAGCCCGGGGCUCAACCCCGGGUCUGCAGUGGGUACGGGCAGACUAGAGUGCAGUAGGGGAGACUGGAAUUCCUGGUGUAGCGGUGAAAUGCGCAGAUAUCAGGAGGAACACCGAUGGCGAAGGCAGGUCUCUGGGCUGUUACUGACGCUGAGGAGCGAAAGCAUGGGGAGCGAACAGGAUUAGAUACCCUGGUAGUCCAUGCCGUAAACGUUGGGCACUAGGUGUGGGGGACAUUCCACGUUUUCCGCGCCGUAGCUAACGCAUUAAGUGCCCCGCCUGGGGAGUACGGCCGCAAGGCUAAAACUCAAAGGAAUUGACGGGGGCCCGCACAAGCGGCGGAGCAUGCGGAUUAAUUCGAUGCAACGCGAAGAACCUUACCAAGGCUUGACAUUCACCGGACCGCCCCAGAGAUGGGGUUUCCCUUCGGGGCUGGUGGACAGGUGGUGCAUGGUUGUCGUCAGCUCGUGUCGUGAGAUGUUGGGUUAAGUCCCGCAACGAGCGCAACCCUCGUUCUAUGUUGCCAGCACGUGAUGGUGGGGACUCAUAGGAGACUGCCGGGGUCAACUCGGAGGAAGGUGGGGAUGACGUCAAAUCAUCAUGCCCCUUAUGUCUUGGGCUUCACGCAUGCUACAAUGGCCGGUACAAAGGGUUGCGAUACUGUGAGGUGGAGCUAAUCCCAAAAAGCCGGUCUCAGUUCGGAUUGAGGUCUGCAACUCGACCUCAUGAAGUCGGAGUCGCUAGUAAUCGCAGAUCAGCAACGCUGCGGUGAAUACGUUCCCGGGCCUUGUACACACCGCCCGUCAAGUCACGAAAGUUGGUAACACCCGAAGCCGGUGGCCUAACCCCUUG
This 1370-nucleotide ribosomal RNA is filed under the name Kocuria rosea. RNAcentral's name for it is "bacterial SSU rRNA". It matches the Rfam family "Bacterial small subunit ribosomal RNA". The record is from RNAcentral. Lineage: Bacteria; Bacillati; Actinomycetota; Actinomycetes; Micrococcales; Micrococcaceae.